Mycena rebaudengoi is the source of this 90-nucleotide non-coding RNA. NCBI's taxonomy places the organism in Eukaryota, Fungi, Basidiomycota, Agaricomycetes, Agaricales, Mycenaceae. The record is from the annotation of a GenBank genome assembly.
GCACCGGUGGUGCAUGGUGCACGCUGCCCUAAAAUUUGAAGCGAGCAACUUGAUGUCAGGCAGAUCGGGGUUCGAUUCCCCGCCGGUGCA